GCAAACUUGGUCAUUUAGAGGAAGUAAAAGUCGUAACAAGGUUUCCGUAGGUGAACCUGCGGAAGGAUCAUUAAUGAGGACAAUUUAACCAUCAAAAUUCCGUCCGGAAUUUUGUUCGAGUUAAAAUUACCUUCCAAACCCUAUGAUUAUAUAAAUAUAUGUUGCUUUGGUUAAUGAGAGUAAUGAUCUGUUAACCAAAAGCCUUAACCAAAAACUCUUAAUAAGAAAACCUAUCUGAGUACCUUAAAAUUAUCAAAUUUUAAUUAAAACUUUCAACAACGGAUCUCUUGGUUUUGGCAUCGAUGAAGAACGCAGC
Molecule: unclassified non-coding RNA, 316 nt
Filed under: uncultured fungus
Lineage: Eukaryota; Fungi
Description: partial contains small subunit ribosomal RNA, internal transcribed spacer 1, and 5.8S ribosomal RNA
Rfam family: Eukaryotic small subunit ribosomal RNA (bases 1-73)
Source: RNAcentral